AUGCUUGUCACCAAACUUGAACUGAAUGUCAUUGGCUCUGAGCACAUAAAAGACUUGUAUGCGCAUGACCCUACUUUUGCUAUUCCUUAUGCCAAAUGUUUGACGCAUACAUCUUGGGAACGCUAUAACAUCAAAGAUGGUUAUCUUAUGAGAGCUAACAAACUAUGCAUCCCCGAGUCCUCUCUUCGUUUGUUGAUUUUGCAAGAAUCUCAUGGUGGAGGACUAAUGGGACACUUUGGACGCGACAAGACAUUUGCUACGCUCUCCAAGAACUACUUUUGGCCCAAGAUGUUCUCAGACGUCUUCCGCUACACCAACCGAUGCUCUACAUGUUGCAAAGCUAAGUCUAAAGCUCAAUCUCAUGGCCUUUACAUGCCCCUUCCAAUUCCAUAUCAACCCUGGGAAGAUAUUAGUAUGGACUUUGUGCUUGGUUUGCCUCGAACUAGAAAUGGAAAGGAUUCCAUCUUCAUUGUUGUGGACCGAUUCUCUAAAAUGGCACAUUUCAUACCAUGCAACAAGAUAGACGAUGCUUCACAUGUUGCAAAUCAUUUUUGUAGGGAAAUCUUGCGCUUACAUGGAGUGCCAGAGACAAUUGUCUCGGACCGCGAUGUCAAGUUCUUGAGUUACUUUUAG
This 633-nucleotide ribosomal RNA is filed under the name Triticum aestivum (bread wheat). RNAcentral describes it as "partial small subunit ribosomal RNA". The record is from RNAcentral. Lineage: Eukaryota; Viridiplantae; Streptophyta; Magnoliopsida; Poales; Poaceae.